This 73-nucleotide transfer RNA is filed under the name Myotis brandtii (Brandt's bat). It matches the Rfam family "tRNA". Rfam says of the family: Transfer RNA (tRNA) molecules are approximately 80 nucleotides in length. Their secondary structure includes four short double-helical elements and three loops (D, anti-codon, and T loops). The record is from Rfam by way of RNAcentral. Lineage: Eukaryota; Metazoa; Chordata; Mammalia; Chiroptera; Vespertilionidae.
GCCCGUGUGGCUCAGUGGAUAGAGCAUCGGCCUGCGGACUGAAAGGUCCCAGGUUCAAUUCCAGUCAAGGGCA